This 494-nucleotide ribosomal RNA is filed under the name uncultured bacterium. RNAcentral's name for it is "partial 16S ribosomal RNA". It matches the Rfam family "Bacterial small subunit ribosomal RNA", at positions 28 to 507 of the family's 1533-position model. The record is from RNAcentral.
GACGAACGCUGGCGGCGUGCUUAACACAUGCAAGUCGAACGGUGAAGCGCCUUCCUUUUUGGUGGGUGUGGAUGAGUGGCGAACGGGUGAGUAACACGUGAGUAACCUGCCCCCUUCUUCUGGAUAACCGCAUGAAAGUGUGGCUAAUACGGGAUAUUCUGGGUCUGUCGCAUGAUGGGUCUGGGAAAGAUAUUGUUUCGGUGGGGGAUGGGCUCGCGGCCUAUCAGCUUGUUGGUGGGGUGAUGGCCUACCAAGGCGGUGACGGGUAACCGGCCUGAGAGGGUGGACGGUCACACUGGGAAUGAGACACGGCCCAGACUCCUACGGGAGGCAGCAGUGGGGAAUAUUGCACAAUGGGCGCAAGCCUGAUGCAGCGACGCCGCGUGAGGGAUGGAGGCCUUCGGGUUGUGAACCUCUUUCGCCAGUGAAGCAGGCCUGCCUCGUUUGUGGGUGGGUUGACGGUAGCUGGAUAAGAAGCGCCGGCUAACUACGUG